CAAACUGAAGAUGGCGACCGGCGCACGGGUGAGUAACACGUAUCCAACCUGCCGAUAACUCCGGAAUAGCCUUUCGAAAGAAAGAUUAAUACCGGAUGGCAUACGAAUAUCGCAUGAUAUUUUUAUUAAAGAAUUUCGGUUAUCGAUGGGGAUGCGUUCCAUUAGUUUGUUGGCGGGGUAACGGCCCACCAAGACUACGAUGGAUAGGGGUUCUGAGAGGAAGGUCCCCCACAUUGGAACUGAGACACGGUCCAAACUCCUACGGGAGGCAGCAUG
This 276-nucleotide ribosomal RNA is filed under the name uncultured bacterium. RNAcentral's name for it is "partial 16S ribosomal RNA". It matches the Rfam family "Bacterial small subunit ribosomal RNA", at positions 77 to 353 of the family's 1533-position model. The record is from RNAcentral.